Molecule: long non-coding RNA, 462 nt
Organism: Nerophis ophidion (straightnose pipefish)
Lineage: Eukaryota; Metazoa; Chordata; Actinopteri; Syngnathiformes; Syngnathidae
Exons: 5
Source: RefSeq, a predicted model, not a curated record
GUACUUCCUUUCCAGUCCAGCAAGCAGGACUAUGAGCGAAGAUUUGAAUUGGAAAUCGAACUAUUUCACUGCAAAGAAAACCAUCGACGUCCAUAAAGAUUCAGAAAUUGGAGACAGUGGAGGAACUACUCGACCUUGACGAGUUGAUAAAAACUCAACCAAGCAAGAAAGAUUUACUGACAGCCAGGCUCUCAAAGAUUGGUGGAGCUGUUUAAGCACCAUCGUGGACAGGCUCAUGACAAAUGAAUUAAUGUCCAAUCUGAACAUGAAGGGGAGAGGGGAAAAAAACUGCCUUUGCCGAGACGAAGCUGCUCGAUGUAGUCACAGUUAGUGUCUUGGAUACCCAGAAGGGGACCGAAACAAAGGUCCAUAAUGCCAUAAAAAAUAAACUGAAAUAUGCCUCUGGACAGAAGGGAGGAAUAGGUUGGGCAUCACAGGCUAAAUAAAUAAUUAUAUCGAUUG